AGUUGGAGGUGUUGAGGUUGGGCAGGGACUGUGGACCAAAGUACAGCAGAUGACGGUUUUCGCGUUGGGACAGUUAUGGCCUGAUGGAUGUGAAUGCCUUCUUGAUAGAGUGCGUCUUCUUCAGGCUGACACGCUGAACUUGAUCCAAGGUGGACUCACUGCUGGCAGCACUUCGUUUGAAUCUAGCUGUGCAGCAACCCUUGAGGCCUGCAACAUGUUGGUUGACAGAUUAAAGGCAGACAUGAAGAAGCUCAAGCAGCAAUCCGGUGGUGAUGUUUCAUGGGAUGCNNNNNNNNNNUACUUCGUCUGAAUCUAGCUGUGCAGCAACUCUUGAGGCUUGCAACAUGCUGGUUGACAGAUUAAAGCCAGUCAUGAAGAAGCUCAAGCAGCAAUCCGGUGGUGAUGUUUCAUGGGAUGCUUUAAU
RNAcentral lists this long non-coding RNA (424 nucleotides) under Hordeum vulgare. RNAcentral's name for it is "long non-coding RNA (HVUL_LNC020571)". Lineage: Eukaryota; Viridiplantae; Streptophyta; Magnoliopsida; Poales; Poaceae. The record is from RNAcentral.